AUGAACGCUGGCGGCAUGCCUAAGACAUGCAAGUCGACGAGGUGGCCCAUUGAAGUCUGAGUGCUUGCACAAAGAUGGAUUUUGGAUUUUCACCUAGUGGCAAACGGGUGAGUAACACGUGGGUUACCUGCCUCUAAGUUGGGGAUAACAACUGGAAACGGUUGAUAAUACCGAAUGUGCUCUACGGAGUAAAGAAGCCCUUAAAGCUUUCGCUUAGAGAUGGGCCUGCGGCGUAUUAGUUAGUUGUGGGGUAAUGCCUACCAAGACAGCGAUGCGUAGCCGAACUGAGAGGUUAAUCGGCCACACUGGGACUGAGACACGGCCCAGACUCCUACGGGAGACAGCAGUUAGGAAUAUUCGUCAAUGGGGGAAACCCUGAACGAGCAAUGCCGCGUGAGUGAUGAAGGCCCUAUGGGUUGUAAAACUCUGUUGUUAAGAAAGAAUGGUAGAAUUAGGAAAUGAGUUCUACUUGACGGUACUUUUCAAGAAAGCCACAACUAACUACGUG
Molecule: ribosomal RNA, 508 nt
Filed under: uncultured bacterium
Lineage: Bacteria
Description: bacterial SSU rRNA
Rfam family: Bacterial small subunit ribosomal RNA
Source: RNAcentral